UUGAAAAUCCAUCCGAACUGCAUUAGAGAGAAAAAGAGAAUAAAUAAAUAAAUAUAUGUAUGUAUAAAUUAAAUCCAGCUUGCGAGAGAGUAAAAACCCAGGCUAUUACACCACUGAAGAGAGAGAAUGAGAGUAAGCCCAGCUCCCAUAUCAUCUCUCUAUCUGUGCGUGAUAGAGUGAGAAAGCCAAUGAGAUAAAGAGAGAUAUUUAGCAUGAGAGAGCGCGAGAGAGAGUAAACCCAAAAUCCUUCAACCCUCUCGAUAAGGUGAAAAAUGGCUCCGAAGCUAACUGCAAAACAAAAGAGAGAGUAUAUGUUAGCGAUUGCAGACUUCAAGCUUACUAACCAGUGGAAUAAUAGCAUCGAAGGAUGGUGGGAAAAGCUCAAGAAUGUUGAUACUGUAGACUGGAGAAAUGAAAGGUGUGUUCUUCCUCCCGUUCCACACAUAAUCAGAAGUAAGUAAUUUCAAAACCCCUGCAAUUUGGCAGUGCGAUAAAUAAAAGGGGUAUUCUUUUUGCGCUUAUAUUUACAAGUUUGCAUUUUAUGAACAUGUUUUGAGUUGCGUUUGCUUGUAUAUAUUGUAUUGGAUAAUGCUAGGGAAACUAAAUUUGUAAAUAAAAUAUUGAAAGUUAAAUGACAUGGAAGUUGACGAUUGAUUUAUUACUUAAACGUUGAUAAAUAUGUUCAAUCCUAUUGAUUACAUGAUAUAUCUAUGUUUAGUUUUGUAUAACAUGAGUACAUAUUGAUUUUACUAGUAUACAUUUUUGUGUUAGGUUUAUGGUAGAUUUGGGUUUUCAAUUGUGUAAGCGUGUUGAAACUUGAAAGAGAAUAAUUUUUUUAGAUGGUAUUAAAAUAGAACUAAAAAAUUGCCUUUAAUUAAAACUUAUCAUCUCAAUUCGUUCCAACAAGCUUAAACCACCAAAAAAACAACACUGAUCAAUUCGAAAAUCAAAGCUUGUUGAGGUAGGAAUAAUAAAUCUCUUAAGCUUUUGACACCUCACCUCCUUCAAGUUUGAGGUCCAAUGGCAACUUGCCAUGUGUCCAACAAAAAGGAAAUCUAAUCUCUGUUUUCCUUUUAUUUAUGUCACUAAAUUUCAUUUGAUGCAAUACUAUUAAAGAAAGAGUAAUGUUAGGUAGGACCAAACUUUUUAAACCAAAUUGUGGUUGUAGAUGGAUGGAUUAUUAAUUAAGUGUUAAUUAACGCGCUUGUUUCUUAUUGGCAACCAUACGUGUGAUGAUUGCGAUUUGUGGGGCAGUAUCAACAUAAUAUUAUAUUCCCACCAGAGAGAUGCAUUCACUAUCUCGAGAGAGUAUUGUAUUGGCAGUUUUCAAGGAGAGGGCACUCAAGGCCAGAAUGCUGAGGGAUGUGGCAAAGAGAAAUAGUGUACUUUGGAAAAUGGGUGGGAUGAAACCGGACUGUGAUAUCUCUUUGGAAGAUGGCUUGAAAUACACAAUGAAAUUUGGCAUUCCAUUUGAAGAGGAAUGACUUCUAGACAGUAGUGUUCGGCCAGUGGGGAAUCUCAAAUCCUUCAAAAUAGUGGACUACAAAAAAGUUGGCCAAAAAGAUGUGGUAACCAUAAAGCAUAUGCUGCGGCAAUUUUCGACCCACCAUCACAUAACAUAGCAAGGGUAAUGACAGCAGCAUAUGCUUUAUGGUUACCACAUCCUUUUGGCCAACUUUUUUGUAGUCCAUUAUUUUGAAAAAUUUUAGAUCCCCAUUGGCCGAACACUGUUGUCUAGAGGCCAUUCCUCUUCAAGUGGAAUGCCAAAUUUCAUUGCGUAUUGUAAGCCAUUCUCCAAAGAGAUAUCGCAGUCCAGCUUCAUCCCACCCAUUUUCCAAAGUACAUUAUUUCUCUCCGCCACAUCCCUUAGCAUUUGAGUCUUGACUCUUGAGUGCCCUCCUUGAAAACUCCCGAUACAAUACUCUCUCUCGAGAGUGAAUGCAUCUCUCCAGUGGGAAUAUAAUAUUGUGAUGAUACUACCCCAUAAAUCGCAAUCGUCACACAUAUGGCUACCAAUAAGAAACAAGCACGUUAAUAAUCCAACCAUCUACAACCACAUCAUUUAGUUUGCAAAUUUGGUUUAAAAAGUUUGAUCUACCUAACAUUACUCUUUCUUCAAUAGUAUCGCAUCAAGUGAAAUUUAGUGAUAGAAAGAAAAGGAAAACAAAGAUUAGAUUUCCUUUUUGAUGGACACAUGGCAAGCUGCCAUUGGACCUCAAACUCGAAAGAGGUGAGGUGUCAAAAGCUUGGGAGAUUUAUUAUUCCUACGACAACAAACUUUGAUUUUCAAAUUGAUUAGUGUUGUUUUUUUUGGUGGUUUAAGCUUGUUGGCAUGAAUUGAGAUGAUAAGUUUUAAUUAAAGGAAAUUUUUUAGUUCUAUUUUAAUACUAUCUUAAAAAAUUAUUCUCUUUCGUUUCAACACACUUACACAAUUUAAAACCCAAAUCUACCAUAAACCUAACACAAAAAUGUAUACUAGUAAAACUGAAAUGUACUCAUGUUAUACAAAACUAAACAUAGAUAUAUCAUGUAAUUAAUAGAAAUGAGCACGCUUAUCAAUAUUUAAAUAAUAAAUAAAUUGUCAAUAAAUAAGUUGUCAACUUCUAUGUCAUUUAGCUUUCAAUAUUUUGUCUACAAAUUUAGUCUCCCUAGCACUAUCCAAUACUAUAUAUACAAGCAAAUGCAACUAAAAAGCAUGUUCAUAAAAUACAAACCUAUAAAUAUAAGUGGAAAAAGAACACCCCUUUCAUUUAGUCGCACUGUCAAAUUGCAGGGGUUUUGAAAUUACUUACGUCUGAUUAUGUGUGGAACGGGAGGAAGAACACCUGGCCCUUUCAUUUCUCCAGUCUACAGUAUCAACACUCUUGAGCUUUUCCCACCAUGCUUCGAUGUUGUUAUUCCACUGGUCAGUAAGCUUGAAGUCUACCAUUGCUAACAUACAUUGUGAAAUCCCAUUCCCGAAUUCCAUUGUUCAAUAGUUCGUAUUUUCAGGAAAUUAAUAUUAUUUUCUGUUAAUUUAGAAGCCUUAGUUAGUUAUGAAGUUUGAUUUUAUUAAAAUCCAUAGACAGAGCGACACUAAAUAUUUUUAGAUAGAGUUUGAUCUCACGAGCAAGUGGAGUGAAAACCGCCUGUGAAACGAGAUUGUAACGAAGGAGAAACUACUGAACAAGUUUACGGGUAUUUUUGUAAAUUUAGUUUAGUCCAAAAUAUUUUGGAUGUUUAGGUUUGCGGGGGCCCCACGCCCUUUCUUUUUCCUGCUGCGUUUUCUCUCCGAGGAGGGGGAGAACUCUUUCUUCCCUUUCUAUCUCAUUUUUGGUGGGGGGUUGCAUAGGGAAGGAAGUCGUCACUUCCCACCACCUCUCCCAAAUUCAUCUCGCCGUCGAUCACCAUCACAUCUUGCUUUCCUCCAUCUUCCAACCCCAUCUCCCUAUGGUAUAGAUCAACUCUACACCCUAGCUUAAAUCCAGUUAUAUAAGUGGAGACACAGGACAACUAGAACUGAGGGAGAGAGAGAGAGGGUGACAGAGAAGGCAAGGAUGAGAAAAGGAAGAAGAGGGUUGAAGAAGGUGGGUCUGAAUCAUGAAAUAAACAUGGUUUUGUAUGUUGUUAUCCUAUGGAUGGAAAGUCUUGGUAAUUAUUCUCUGAUUCUCUUAAACCCUUAUAUGGUCAUUUAUUUGGAUGCUACUAUGGGAAAUUAGUCUUAUAUGCAGUUGAUGUAGGUGUAAGUUUUUAUGUGAAUAUACUUAUAUGCUGCAAAA
Molecule: long non-coding RNA, 3758 nt
Organism: Pyrus x bretschneideri (Chinese white pear)
Lineage: Eukaryota; Viridiplantae; Streptophyta; Magnoliopsida; Rosales; Rosaceae
Exons: 2
Source: RefSeq, a predicted model, not a curated record